UAAAAACUCCCCAGUAUCUCAAAACUCCCACUUGGGACGUCAGCCUUUCUCAUUGGACAAGCCCAUUUUGAGAGGCGGGAAUCUUCCGAGACAUUAAAAGCCCCACACUAGGGACCCGCCCAGAGUCAGUGGUUCUGUUAGGUUUUGAGAAGAUGUGAGCUACAACGCUCCAGGACAUCCUUAAGUACGUGCCAGGCUUCGGCCUUGACUUUUCCAUUCAUCAAGAUUCUCUGACGCAAACUGGUUCUUUUCCAUCAA
Long non-coding RNA from Sinocyclocheilus anshuiensis, 258 nucleotides. RefSeq lists it as uncharacterized. NCBI's taxonomy places the organism in Eukaryota, Metazoa, Chordata, Actinopteri, Cypriniformes, Cyprinidae. The transcript is spliced from 3 exons. The record is from RefSeq and is a predicted model, not a curated record.